Molecule: small nuclear RNA, 260 nt
Filed under: Marmota marmota marmota (Alpine marmot)
Lineage: Eukaryota; Metazoa; Chordata; Mammalia; Rodentia; Sciuridae
Also listed under: 1 other name
Description: 7SK RNA (ENSMMMG00000021471.1)
Rfam family: 7SK RNA
About the family: 7SK was discovered as an abundant small nuclear RNA in the mid-70s but a possible function has only recently been suggested.
Source: Rfam by way of RNAcentral
UGAUGUGAGGGCCAUGUGGCUGCGACACCAGUCAACCCUGUGAUAGCAAGGGUUGAUCCAGCUCAUCGGGCUGGCUACAUUGGUGUCCCCUUCCUCCUUCUGAAGUCCAUGAUCUUGCCUGAGAGAGGAGGACCAUUCUUGGGUCAAGGUAUACGAGUAGCUACUACGUGGCUAGAACCUCCAAACAAGACCUCUAGAAAGCACCAGCCCUUAGGCUUCCUUUUUCUUCCAAAGGACCAUAUCCAAGUCACCCAAACUUU